Molecule: ribosomal RNA, 1499 nt
Filed under: uncultured bacterium
Lineage: Bacteria
Description: bacterial SSU rRNA
Rfam family: Bacterial small subunit ribosomal RNA
Source: RNAcentral
UGGUUUGAUUAUGGCUCAGGAUGAACGCUGGCGGCAUGCCUAAUACAUGCAAGUCGAACGGAGUGAAGCCUUCGGGUUUCAUUCAGUGGCGAACGGGUGAGUAAUACGCAGGGAACCUGGCCAUGGCAGGGGGAUACACUCUGGAAACGGAGCAUAAGACCCCAUAGGCAGUAAGGCGGCAUCGCCUUGCUGUUAAAGAAAGCUGAAAGGCUUUGGCGAUGGAUGGACCUGCGGUGCAUUAGCUUGUUGGUGAGGCAACGGCUUACCAAGGCGAUGAUGCAUAGCCGGCCUGAGAGGGCGGACGGCCACACUGGGACUGAGACACGGCCCAGACUCCUGCGGGAGGCAGCAGUAGGGAAUUUUCGUCAAUGGGCGCAAGCCUGAACGAGCAAUGCCGCGUGAGUGAGGAAGGUCUUCGGACUGUAAAGCUCUGUUGCCGGGGAAAAAGGGGAAAUGCAGGAAAUGGCAUUUCAUGGAUGGUACCCGGCCAGAAAGCCACGGCUAACUACGUGCCAGCAGCCGCGGUAAUACGUAGGUGGCGAGCGUUAUCCGGAAUGAUUGGGCGUAAAGGGUGCGCAGGCGGUCUGUUAAGUCUGAAGGCAAAGGGAUGAGCUCAACUCAUUUAUGAUUCAGAAACUGGCAGACUUGAGGACAGGAGAGGGCGGUGGAACUCCAUGUGUAGCGGUAAAAUGCGCAGAGAUAUGGAAGAACACCAGUGGCGAAGGCGACCGCCUGGCCUGUGACUGACGCUGAGGCACGAAAGCGUGGGGAGCAAAUAGGAUUAGAUACCCUAGUAGUCCACGCCGUAAACGAUGAGGAGCAGGUGUUGGGAGUGAAAUCUCAGUGCCGAAGCCAACGCAGUGACUCCUCCGCCUGGGGAGUAUGCACGCAAGUGUGAAACUCAAAGGAAUUGACGGGGGCCCGCACAAGCGGUGGAGUAUGUGGUUUAAUUCGAAGCAACGCGAAGAACCUUACCAGGUUUUGACAUCGGAUGCGAAGGCGCAGAGAUGCGCUGGAGGCUAUCAUCCAGACAGGUGGUGCAUGGUUGUCGUCAGCUCGUGUCGUGAGAUGUUCAGUUAAGUCUGGCAACGAGCGCAACCCCCGUGGUAUGUUACUAACGCAUUUGGGCGAGGACUCAUAUCAGACUGCCGGUGACAAACCGGAGGAAGGCGGGGAUGACGUCAAAUCAUCAUGCCCCUUAUGACCUGGGCUACACACGUACUACAAUGGCGUCUACAGAGGGAAGCGACCCUGAGAAGGGAAGCGAAACCGGAAAAGGGCGUCCCAGUUCGGAUUGAAGUCUGCAACCCGACUUCAUGAAGAUGGAAUCGCUAGUAAUCGCGGAUCAGCAUGCCGCGGUGAAUACGUUCCCGGGCCUUGUACACACCGCCCGUCAAACCAUGGAAGCCGGCAACGCCCGAAGCCGGUGGCAUAACCUUUUAGGAGUGAGCCGUCGAAGGCGGGGCCGAUGACUGGGGUUAAGUCGUAACAAGGUACCC